RNAcentral lists this ribosomal RNA (716 nucleotides) under Micarea soralifera. Its description in RNAcentral is "SSU rRNA". It matches the Rfam family "Bacterial small subunit ribosomal RNA", at positions 370 to 1043 of the family's 1533-position model. Lineage: Eukaryota; Fungi; Ascomycota; Lecanoromycetes; Lecanorales; Micareaceae. The record is from RNAcentral.
AAUAGCCUAACGGCUGAACCAGCAACUUGGAAGAAUGUAUAGCGAUUGCUAACUGCUUCAUACCACAAAAAAGAUGAAGCAGUCUCGAUUUAAUCGAAUAAAGUUCUGGGUAAAAUUAUGAUAAUGACAUUGUUUACCUGUGAGUCUUGACCAAAUUACGUGCCAGCAGUCGCGGUAAUACGUAGAAGACUAGUGUUAUUCAUCUUUAAUAGGUUUAAAGGGUACCUAGACGGCAUAUUAAGCCUUAAUUGGAACUGACAUGCUAGAGUUACUUAUGAGGAAGUUUUAAUGUACUAGAGGUGUAGAGAUGAAAUUCAGUCAUACCUUUUUUCUAACGAAAAAUUUCGGCACAGGUGUAGGUGAAAACAUCUUCUUAUGGGAUAACUGACGUUGAGGGACGAAGGCUUUUUAUCGCGAACAGGAUUAGAUACCCUGGUAGUCAAAGCAGAAAAUGAUGAGUGUCAUAGAUUAGAUAAAAAAAUUUAUUCUAUAAAUGAAAGUGUAAGCACUCCACCUCAAGAGUAAUUUGGCAACAUUGGAACUGAAAUCAUUAGACCGUAUCUGAAACCAGUAGUGAAGUAUGUUAUUUAAUUUGAUAAUCCGCAAAAAACCUUACCACAACUUGAAUAUUUAUUUAUUUACUUUAUCACAAGUUUUGUGUGCAGCCCAGGCUAUAAUAUAGGCUGUUAUUUAAACAAUUAAGCAAUUAUGUGAUA